Molecule: ribosomal RNA, 253 nt
Filed under: uncultured bacterium
Lineage: Bacteria
Description: partial 16S ribosomal RNA
Rfam family: Bacterial small subunit ribosomal RNA
Source: RNAcentral
UACGAAGGGGGCUAGCGUUGUUCGGAAUUACUGGGCGUAAAGGGCGCGUAGGCGGUGUGCCAAGUCAGGCGUGAAAGCCCCGGGCUCAACCUGGGAACCGCGCUUGAGACUGGCACGCUCGAGUUCGGGAGAGGAUGGUGGAAUUCCCAGUGUAGAGGUGAAAUUCGUAGAUAUUGGGAAGAACACCGAUGGCGAAGGCAGCCAUCUGGACCGACACUGACGCUGAGGCGCGAAAGCGUGGGGAGCAAACAGG